This 305-nucleotide ribosomal RNA is filed under the name uncultured bacterium. RNAcentral's name for it is "bacterial SSU rRNA". It matches the Rfam family "Bacterial small subunit ribosomal RNA", at positions 335 to 638 of the family's 1533-position model. The record is from RNAcentral.
AUACCUACGGGACGCAGCAGUGAGGAAUAUUGGUCAAUGGGAGAGAUCCUGAACCAGCCAAGUCGCGUGAGGGAAGACGGCCCUACGGGUUGUAAACCUCUUUUGUCGGGGAGCAAAGCGAACCACGUGUGGUUCAUUGAGAGUACCCGAAGAAAAAGCAUCGGCUAACUCCGUGCCAGCAGCCGCGGUAAUACGGAGGAUGCGAGCGUUAUCCGGAUUUAUUGGGUUUAAAGGGUGCGCAGGCGGAGGUGCAAGUCAGUGGUCAAAUUGCGGGGCUCAACCCCGUACUGCCGUUGAAACUGCAU